GACGAACGCUGGCGGCGUGCUUAACACAUGCAAGUCGAACGGAAAGGCCCUGCUUUUGUGGGGUGCUCGAGUGGCGAACGGGUGAGUAACACGUGAGUAACCUGCCCUUGACUUUGGGAAACUUCAGGGAACUGGGGCUAAUACCGGAUAGGAACUCCUGCUGCAUGGGGGGGGUUGGAAAGUUUCGGCGGUUGGGGAUGGACUGGCGGCUUAUCGGCUUGUUGGUGGGGUGGGGGCUUAGCAAGGCAUUGCCGGGUAGCCGGCCUGAGAGGGGGAACGGCCACAUGGGGACUGAGAUACGGCGCAGACGCCUACGGGAGGCAGAAGUGGGGAACAUUGCACAACGGGAGGACGUCUGAUGAAGAGGCGCCGCGUGCGGGAUGACGGCCUUCGGGUUGUAAACCGCAGUCGCCUGUGACGAAGCGGGAGUGACGGUAAUGGGUAAAGAAGCACCGGCUAACUACGUG
Molecule: ribosomal RNA, 467 nt
Filed under: uncultured bacterium
Lineage: Bacteria
Description: partial 16S ribosomal RNA
Rfam family: Bacterial small subunit ribosomal RNA
Source: RNAcentral